This 27-nucleotide ribosomal RNA is filed under the name uncultured Glomus. RNAcentral's name for it is "partial 28S ribosomal RNA". Lineage: Eukaryota; Fungi; Glomeromycota; Glomeromycetes; Glomerales; Glomeraceae. The record is from RNAcentral.
GACCUCAAAUCAGUAAGAACCCCGAUC